CGUGUAGGCGGCUUGACAAGUCAGAUGUGAAAUCCCUGGGCUUAACCUAGGAAGUGCAUUUGAAACUGUCAGGCUUGAGUAAGGGAGAGGAAAGUGGAAUUCCUGGUGUAGAGGUGAAAUUCGUAGAUAUCAGGAGGAACACCGGUGGCGAAGGCGACUUUCUGGCCCUAUACUGACGCUGAGACGCGAAAGCGUGGGUAGCAAACA
This 207-nucleotide ribosomal RNA is filed under the name uncultured Syntrophaceae bacterium. RNAcentral's name for it is "partial 16S ribosomal RNA". It matches the Rfam family "Bacterial small subunit ribosomal RNA", at positions 568 to 774 of the family's 1533-position model. Lineage: Bacteria; Pseudomonadati; Thermodesulfobacteriota; Syntrophia; Syntrophales; Syntrophaceae. The record is from RNAcentral.